This is a small nuclear RNA of Cervus hanglu yarkandensis (Yarkand deer), 109 nucleotides long. The record is from Ensembl. Lineage: Eukaryota; Metazoa; Chordata; Mammalia; Artiodactyla; Cervidae.
GUGCUUGCUUCAGCAGCACAUAUACUAAAAACCUGGAACAAUUCAGAGAAGAUUAGCAUGGGCUGUAUGCAAGGAUGAUGUGCAAAUUUGUGAAGUAUUAAAAACAAAA